RNAcentral lists this ribosomal RNA (253 nucleotides) under uncultured bacterium. RNAcentral describes it as "partial 16S ribosomal RNA". It matches the Rfam family "Bacterial small subunit ribosomal RNA", at positions 524 to 776 of the family's 1533-position model. The record is from RNAcentral.
CACGUAGGGGGCGAGCGUUGUCCGGAUUCAUUGGGCGGAAAGAGCUCGUAGGCGGCUCAGUAAGUCGGGUGUGAAAGCCCCGGGCUUAACUUGGGAAUUGCGCUCGAAACUACGUGGCUCGAGUGUGGCAGAGGAAGGUGGAAUUCCACGUGUAGCGGUGAAAUGCGUAGAGAUGUGGAGGAACACCGAUGGCGAAGGCAGCCUUCUGGGCCAACACUGACACUCAUGCACGAAAGCGUGGGGAGCAAACAGG